AACGCACAUUGCGCUCCUCGGCAUUCCGUGGAGCAUGCCUGUUUGAUGCGCAUGAAUAACUUCGGCCACUCGCGUGGCUUGUUUCUGAGCUUUCUCACUUUUGUGAGUAGUUCAAAGUCACAAAAUUUUGAGAGGUCGCGAUUGCUGGCAACGGCCCAUUGGCUUAGUCCACCGGCGUCAAAUGUUACACCUCCCAAGUGAACUGAUAGUAUACCACACCAUCAGAUAGCUUGGGACCAUUUGAUGAUCAACCGAGGGACGGACAUUUGGGUACGGACCUGCUCUCUGCUGAUCUUUGUUGUGUGGGAUCUUUCCCCUCAGAAAUUCUGCAUCAAAUCAGGUAGGGUUACCCGCUGAACUUAA
RNAcentral lists this small RNA (363 nucleotides) under uncultured fungus. RNAcentral's name for it is "eukaryotic LSU rRNA". Lineage: Eukaryota; Fungi. The record is from RNAcentral.